UCUAAAAUGACAGACAAAUGUGUAAGACUUAAGAUCUUAAAAUGAAGAUAAUCUUCUUUUAGAA
RNAcentral lists this transfer RNA (64 nucleotides) under Pisidia serratifrons. Its description in RNAcentral is "tRNA-Leu". Lineage: Eukaryota; Metazoa; Arthropoda; Malacostraca; Decapoda; Porcellanidae. The record is from RNAcentral.